GGGCGGUUAGCUCAGCUGGGAGAGCGACUGGUUUACACCCAGUAGGUCGGCGGUUCGAUCCCGUCACCGCCCACCA
Molecule: transfer RNA, 76 nt
Filed under: Rhodospirillaceae bacterium
Lineage: Bacteria; Pseudomonadati; Pseudomonadota; Alphaproteobacteria; Rhodospirillales; Rhodospirillaceae
Also listed under: 9 other names
Description: tRNA-Val
Rfam family: tRNA
About the family: Transfer RNA (tRNA) molecules are approximately 80 nucleotides in length. Their secondary structure includes four short double-helical elements and three loops (D, anti-codon, and T loops).
Source: RNAcentral